AUGAACCUCGAUCUGGAGCUGGCCAGGACGGAGCUGCAGGAGGUCAGAGACGGUGCCGCAGAAAAACUGAAAGAAGCUCUGGCGAAGAAGGAUCAGGACUUGGCUGCUGCCCGUAAGGAGGCUGAUGACAAGACCGCUCUGGCCGCGCAGAAGCUGGCUUCGGUCGACCAAUUAGAAGGGGAGAACACCAAGUUGAAGACCGAUCUGAAGGAAGCCAACAGGGAGUGUUCGCGUUGGAAGAAGGAGCACCUCACCCUGAGCGAGAAGAUGGAAAGCAUCGCUCGCAGGAGAGACGACCUGGAAAGCUACUUGAGGAGCUUUGCCAAGAAGCUGUACAUCAAGCUCGAAGAACUUUGCCAGAACUUCGAAGAGGAGACCGGGCGGAUCGAAACAGGUUUGGAUCCAAUCAACUCUCCGGUGCAAGACGAAGCUGCCAUGAACCUGCUCCGACUGGAAUCCCGCGUUGACGGCGUCGUGGAUUACUUGGCUCGACUGAAGGUUGCCAUGACGCGGAUCGACCCGACGCUUUGGCCAGAGUCCACGCUCCAGAACGAUCUCAAGUCUCUGAUGACUCGACUCAACGGAAUCCCUGACCGAGUGCAAGAGUGGAAGAAGUCUUCAGCUCGGUGUGGUGCCGACGUGGCUCUGUCUCUGGUCCGCGUCCAUUGCAAGGAGGUGCGGCAGGAGAAGCUGGCCGCCAUCCAAGUUGCCAACACGAGGAAGCACAACUUCCAGGACUUCAUGGAGACAUUUAUUGCUGCUGCUACCCGCAUCGCAGAUGAGAUCGACUUGGAUGAGUUUGUCGCCCCUGCCAGUCCUCCUCCUCCCGAGGAAUGA
RNAcentral lists this ribosomal RNA (837 nucleotides) under Triticum aestivum (bread wheat). RNAcentral's name for it is "partial small subunit ribosomal RNA". Lineage: Eukaryota; Viridiplantae; Streptophyta; Magnoliopsida; Poales; Poaceae. The record is from RNAcentral.